RNAcentral lists this ribosomal RNA (461 nucleotides) under uncultured bacterium. RNAcentral describes it as "SSU rRNA". It matches the Rfam family "Bacterial small subunit ribosomal RNA", at positions 26 to 518 of the family's 1533-position model. The record is from RNAcentral.
AGAAUCAACGCUGGCGGCGUGCCUAACACAUGCAAGUCGCACGAGAAAGGGUAGCAAUACCUGAGUAAAGUGGCGCACGGGUGAGUAACACGUGAAUUAUCUACCUCCGAGUGGGGAAUAACUGAGAGAAAUCUUAGCUAAUACCGCAUAACACUUACGAGUCAAAGCAGCAAUGCGCUUGGAGAGGAGUUCGCGGCCGAUUAGUUAGUUGGCGGGGUAAUGGCCCACCAAGACGAUGAUCGGUAUCCGGCCUGAGAGGGCGCACGGACACACUGGAACUGAAACACGGUCCAGACUCCUACGGGAGGCAGCAGUGGGGGAAUUUUGCGCAAUGGGGGAAACCCUGACGCAGCAACGCCGCGUGGAGGAUGAAAUCCCUUGGGAUGUAAACUCCUUUCGAUAGGGAAGAUAAUGACGGUACCUAUAGAAGAAGCCCCGGCUAACUUCGUGCCAGCAGCCGC